RNAcentral lists this ribosomal RNA (254 nucleotides) under uncultured bacterium. RNAcentral's name for it is "partial 16S ribosomal RNA". It matches the Rfam family "Bacterial small subunit ribosomal RNA", at positions 524 to 776 of the family's 1533-position model. The record is from RNAcentral.
UACGUAGGGUGCGAGCGUUGUCCGGAAUUAUUGGGCGUAAAGAGCUCGUAGGCGGUGUGUCGCGUCGGCCGUGAAAACCUGCAGCUUAACUGUGGGCUUGCGGUCGAUACGGGCAUCACUGGAGUUCGGCAGGGGAGACUGGAAUUCCUGGUGUAGCGGUGAAAUGCGCAGAUAUCAGGAGGAACACCGGUGGCGAAGGCAGGUCUCUGGGCCGAUACUGACGCUGAGGAGCGAAAGCGUGGGGAGCGAACAGG